ACAAACAUUUUAGUGACAUUAGGAUAUCAUUACCCUUUAUCUAAAAACACAUUGAAGUGCAAAAAUAAUGUUACCCGUGUGGUAUCAGAGUUUCCCCAAUAAAGAUAAUUGAAAGUUACGUGAGAGUGAAAUUUAAUGCAGAAAGUGAAUCACUCAAGGGUUGAGAGGACAGUGUAGAAAAGAUAAAGCAUGAGGAUGCAAGGGAGUUGAUGGAGUACAAUUCAGAUUCAGAAAUGGCACACAGAUCUACUGUUUCACUGCUUCACACACUCAAUUCCAAAUCUUUCUGUUCAAAGUUUGAAGUCUAUCAUUUGAGACCACUAAUUUUUAAUUUGGGUAUACAAAAAAAUUAAACUUCA
Non-coding RNA from Vigna umbellata (rice bean), 359 nucleotides. NCBI's taxonomy places the organism in Eukaryota, Viridiplantae, Streptophyta, Magnoliopsida, Fabales, Fabaceae. The record is from RefSeq and is a predicted model, not a curated record.